This is a long non-coding RNA of Alligator mississippiensis (American alligator), 803 nucleotides long. RefSeq lists it as uncharacterized. The transcript has 3 exons. NCBI's taxonomy places the organism in Eukaryota, Metazoa, Chordata, Crocodylia, Alligatoridae. The record is from RefSeq and is a predicted model, not a curated record.
GCAGGCCCGGAUGGGCUCCAUCCGAGGGUGCUGAAGGCACUGGCCGAUGUCAUUGCAGAGCCACUGGCAGGAAUAUUCGAACGCUUGUGGCGCACGGGCCAAAUCCCAGAAGACUGGAAAAGGGCUAAUGUGGUCCCCAUUUUCAAAAAAGGGAGGAAGGAGGACCCGGGCAAUUAUAGGCCGGUUACGAAAUGCCUGGACACAGGAGGAGGGGUGGAUGUCGUAUACUUAGACUUCAGGAAGGCCUUCGAUACGGUAUCCCACCCCAUACUGGUGAACAAGUUAAGAGGCUGUGAUGUGGAUGACUGCACGGUCCGGAUGAACUCUAAAAUCAGAAUAUGUUAGCUAUCUCAGCUGGGAGCCGUUCCUGUUGGAGCCUGUUAACCAGAGCAGGUCCCUUGUCGUUCUACAGACUUUUCUUCAUGUCUCACUUUCCAGAAAUUUUGAAGCACCAUAAAGACAUCCAUGAUGAUUAUAUGACACAAGCUUUGUCAAAACUGAGGAUUUGACCUAUCAGCUAUCAGUAAGAUAUUCUGAUUUAGGAAUAUGAGGCCACUACAAGACAUGACUUGUACCAGGGGCGUUUUCUGCACUUUCACAGAGGGGUAAACUGAACAAAUGCAAAUCACUUUACAGUUUAUAGUAUUUUUGCCUGUCGAACCUUGUGAUUUGCACUCCGGCUGUGCCAUAUACUAGUCAAUGCUAGCUGAAAUCUCCAUUUAGACAAGGCCUUAGGAUUUGUCUGUAUUUGAGAUUUAUUCUGUUUUGACUUGUAUUGUUUUGUAUUAAAAUCUCUCGCACAC